GAUGAACGCUGGCGGCGUGCCUAAUACAUGCAAGUCGAGCGAACAGACGAGGAGCUUGCUCCUCUGACGUUAGCGGCGGACGGGUGAGUAACACGUGGAUAACCUACCUAUAAGACUGGGAUAACUUCGGGAAACCGGAGCUAAUACCGGAUAAUAUAUUGAACCGCAUGGUUCAAUAGUGAAAGACGGUUUUGCUGUCACUUAUAGAUGGAUCCGCGCCGCAUUAGCUAGUUGGUAAGGUAACGGCUUACCAAGGCGACGAUGCGUAGCCGACCUGAGAGGGUGAUCGGCCACACUGGAACUGAGACACGGUCCAGACUCCUACGGGAGGCAGCAGUAGGGAAUAUUCCGCAAUGGGCGAAAGCCUGACGGAGCAACGACGCGUGAGUGAUGAAGGUCUUCGGAUCGUAAAACUCUGUUAUUAGGGAAGAACAAAUGUGUAAGUAACUAUGCACGUCUUGACGGUACCUAAUCAGAAAGCCGCGGCUAACUACGUG
RNAcentral lists this ribosomal RNA (497 nucleotides) under uncultured bacterium. RNAcentral's name for it is "partial 16S ribosomal RNA". It matches the Rfam family "Bacterial small subunit ribosomal RNA", at positions 28 to 507 of the family's 1533-position model. The record is from RNAcentral.